GCCCUUAUAGCUCUCAGUGGUAGAGCGCGCCACUCGUAAUGGUGAGGUCGGUUGUUCAAUCCAGCCUGAGGGCA
Molecule: transfer RNA, 74 nt
Filed under: Ganoderma lucidum Xiangnong No.1
Lineage: Eukaryota; Fungi; Basidiomycota; Agaricomycetes; Polyporales; Polyporaceae
Description: tRNA-Thr (CGT) (tRNA-Thr-CGT-4-1)
Rfam family: tRNA
About the family: Transfer RNA (tRNA) molecules are approximately 80 nucleotides in length. Their secondary structure includes four short double-helical elements and three loops (D, anti-codon, and T loops). Further hydrogen bonds mediate the characteristic L-shaped molecular structure. tRNAs have two regions of fundamental functional importance: the anti-codon, which is responsible for specific mRNA codon recognition, and the 3' end, to which the tRNAs corresponding amino acid is attached (by aminoacyl-tRNA synthetases). tRNAs cope with the degeneracy of the genetic code in two manners: having more than one tRNA (with a specific anti-codon) for a particular amino acid; and 'wobble' base-pairing, i.e. permitting non-standard base-pairing at the 3rd anti-codon position.
Source: RNAcentral